This 140-nucleotide ribosomal RNA is filed under the name Clostridium perfringens. Its description in RNAcentral is "partial 23S ribosomal RNA". It matches the Rfam family "Bacterial large subunit ribosomal RNA", at positions 2786 to 2925 of the family's 2925-position model. Lineage: Bacteria; Bacillati; Bacillota; Clostridia; Eubacteriales; Clostridiaceae. The record is from RNAcentral.
CGUGAAGCCAACCUCAAGAUGAGAUUUCCCAUAGCGUAAGCUAGUAAGAUCCCUUGAAGAACACAAGGUUGAUAGGUUGGGGGUGUAAGCAUGGUAACAUGUUCAGCUGACCGAUACUAAUAGAUCGAGGGCUUGACCAA